CUAAGGCUCCAGAGGAAGCCACGGCUAACUCUGUGCCAGCAGCCGCGGUAAUACAGAGGCGGCAAGCGUUGUUCGGAAUUAUUGGGCGUAAAGAGCACGUAGGCGGCCUUGCAAGUCAGUUGUGAAAGCCUUCCGCUUAACGGAAGAAUGCCAGCCGAUACUACAGGGCUUGAGUACGGGAGGGGAGAGUGGAACUUCUGGUGGAGCGGUGAAAUGCGUAGAUAUCAGAAGGAACGCCGGCGGCGAAAGCGACUCUCUGGCCCGAAACUGACGCUGAGUGUGCGAAAGCUAGGGGAGCAAACGGGAUUAGAUACCCCGGUAGUCCUAGCCGUAAA
This 335-nucleotide ribosomal RNA is filed under the name uncultured Planctomycetales bacterium. RNAcentral's name for it is "bacterial SSU rRNA". It matches the Rfam family "Bacterial small subunit ribosomal RNA", at positions 473 to 806 of the family's 1533-position model. The record is from RNAcentral. Lineage: Bacteria; Pseudomonadati; Planctomycetota; Planctomycetia; Planctomycetales.